RNAcentral lists this transfer RNA (66 nucleotides) under Formica glauca. RNAcentral's name for it is "tRNA-His". Lineage: Eukaryota; Metazoa; Arthropoda; Insecta; Hymenoptera; Formicidae. The record is from RNAcentral.
GUUUAAGUAGUUUAUUUAUAAAAUAUUAAUUUGUGGAAUUAAAGAAAUUUUUUUUUAUCUUAAAUA